RNAcentral lists this ribosomal RNA (466 nucleotides) under uncultured bacterium. RNAcentral's name for it is "partial 16S ribosomal RNA". It matches the Rfam family "Bacterial small subunit ribosomal RNA", at positions 28 to 507 of the family's 1533-position model. The record is from RNAcentral.
GACGAACGCUGGCGGCGCGCCUAACACAUGCAAGUCGAACGAGCGAGAGAGAGCUUGCUUUCUCGAGCGAGUGGCGAACGGGUGAGUAACGCGUGAGGAACCUGCCUCAAAGAGGGGGACAACAGUUGGAAACGACUGCUAAUACCGCAUAAGCCCACGACCCGGCAUCGGGUAGAGGGAAAAGGAGCAAUCCGCUUUGAGAUGGCCUCGCGUCCGAUUAGCUAGUUGGUGAGGUAACGGCCCACCAAGGCGACGAUCGGUAGCCGGACUGAGAGGUUGAACGGCCACAUUGGGACUGAGACACGGCCCAGACUCCUGCGGGAGGCAGCAGUGGGGAAUAUUGCACAAUGGGGGAAACCCUGAUGCAGCGACGCCGCGUGGAGGAAGAAGGUCUUCGGAUUGUAAACUCCUGUUGUGGAGGAAGAUAAUGACGGUACUCAACAAGGAAGUGACGGCUAACUACGUG